GACGAACGCUGGCGGCGUGCUUAACACAUGCAAGUCGAACGGAAAGGCCCUGCUUUUGUGGGGUGCUCGAGUGGCGAACGGGUGAGUAACACGUGAGUAACCUGCCCUUGACUUUGGGAUAACUUCAGGAAACUGGGGCUAAUACCGGAUAGGAGCUCCUGCUGCAUGGUGGGGGUUGGAAAGUUUCGGCGGUUGGGGAUGGACUCGCGGCUUAUCAGCUUGUUGGUGGGGUAGUGGCUUACCAAGGCUUUGACGGGUAGCCGGCCUGAGAGGGUGACCGGCCACAUUGGGACUGAGAUACGGCCAAGACUCCUACGGGAGGCAGCAGUGGGGAAUAUUGCACAAGGGGCGGAAGCCGGAUGCAGCAACGCCGCGUGCGGGAUGACGGCCUUCGGGUUGUAAACCGCUUUCGCCUGUGACGAAGCGUGAGUGACGGUAAUGGGUAAAGAAGCACCGGCUAACUACGUG
RNAcentral lists this ribosomal RNA (468 nucleotides) under uncultured bacterium. RNAcentral's name for it is "partial 16S ribosomal RNA". It matches the Rfam family "Bacterial small subunit ribosomal RNA", at positions 28 to 507 of the family's 1533-position model. The record is from RNAcentral.